This 253-nucleotide ribosomal RNA is filed under the name uncultured bacterium. RNAcentral describes it as "partial 16S ribosomal RNA". It matches the Rfam family "Bacterial small subunit ribosomal RNA", at positions 524 to 776 of the family's 1533-position model. The record is from RNAcentral.
UACGUAGGGUGCAGGCGUUAAUCGGAAUUACUGGGCGUAAAGCGUGCGCAGGCGGUCUUUUAAGUCAGAUGUGAAAUCCCCGGGCUUAACCUGGGAAUGGCGUUUGAAACUACGGAGCUGGAGUGUGGCAGAGGGAGGUAGAAUUCCACGUGUAGCGGUGAAAUGCUUAGAUAUGACAUAGAACACCAAUUGCGUAGGCAGCCUACUACACGAUCAUUGACGCUGAGGCACGAAAGCGUGGGGAGCAAACAGG